Molecule: ribosomal RNA, 1800 nt
Filed under: Triticum aestivum (bread wheat)
Lineage: Eukaryota; Viridiplantae; Streptophyta; Magnoliopsida; Poales; Poaceae
Description: partial small subunit ribosomal RNA
Source: RNAcentral
AUGAUGGCUCCUGAGUUAGAUAAGCAAUACUCAAACAUCCAGCUGGGAGAAGAAGUGGAGAUAUGUGACAUUAAGCUUGCGCUCAAGGCACUGCGAAAGAAGAUCCUUAGUUUGGAUUUUCAUAACUCCUUGCAUGUUCAUGAUCCACAAAACUCAUUUGAGUACUUAGAAGUGUUGUACAAAUUACGGCAGCUGUCUGAGAAGUUAGGUAAUUUGGACCCUGGUGGAGAAGUAAAAGAGCACAAGGAACUCACCGUAUAUGCUGAUGACCUUUUUGAAAUGGCGAUGGCAAGGCUCGAAGAGGAAUUUGUUUACCUUCUUACGUACUACAAACAGCCGUUAGAACAGGAGCUUCUCUCCUUCCGUUCUACAGAGGAUGGCAGCACGGAUGAAUUUUCAAGCAGCUCAUUCAGUGAGGAACAAAGUGAAGGCAAGUCAACACAAACCGGUAGCAGCGGAGGAUCUGAAUAUUUUGUGGCUGAUUUGAUCCAACCUGGUGCACUCUCUGCUGUCAAGUCCAUUGCCAACUUCAUGUUCCUGAGUGACUACAAUAACGAGUGUUGCCAGGCUUAUAUCAAUGCACGGCAGGGUGCAAUAGAUGAGUUCAUUGGGUCUCUUCACAUCGACAAGCACAGCAUAGAAGAACUUAUGAGCACUAAAUGGAACAAACUGAGCGCAUCGAUAAAGCGGUGGAAUCGGGCAAUGAAGGCUUUUGUCCGAGUCUACCUUGCGAGCGAGAGGCGCCUUAGCAGUCUUGUCUUUGGUGACCUUUCAGAAACAGCUGUAGACCUGUGCUUCUAUGAGAUUUCAUUUAGCUCGGUCAUGCAGCUUCUGACCUUUUAUGAGUCUGUAGCAAUUGGACCUCCUAAACCGGAAAAGCUUUUCCGGAUUCUUGAUAUGUAUGAGGUCCUGGAUGAUUUGCUCCCCGAAGCAGAGUUCUUGUUCCAAGCAGGGGGCAAUGAUAUGGUUUUAGCUGAGUAUCAUGAAGUCCUACUCCAGCUGGGAGAAUCAGCGAGGAAAACAUUUGCGGAAUUCAAGUAUGCCAUCCAAUCCUACACGUCAUCCAGUGCAGUGCCUACUGGUGCAGUGCAUCCCCUCACCAAGUAUGUCAUGAACUAUAUAAAGGCUGUCACUGUUUACAGCAAAACUCUUGAUUCACUGCUGAAGGAUGCGGAUCAACAGCCUAUACCAAACUCAUGCACUCAUUUCACGGCUACAGCAUUGCAUCUGCAGUCUGUUGCUGCAGUUUUAGAAGCAAAUCUUGAAGCCGGGUCUAGAUUGUACAGAGAUUGUCGAUUGCGGAACAUCUUUAUGAUGAACAAUAUCUGCUACAUGGUCCAGAAAGUGAAGAACUCGGAUCUCAAGAGCUUUCUUGGCGACGACUGGAUCCGGCUGCACAACCGGAUGUUUCAGCAUCAGGCGACCAACUACGAGAGGGCGUCGUGGAGUCAGGUGCUGUCUUACCUGAGUGAUGAUGGCUUAUGUGCCGCCGGAGGUGCCGCUUCUCGUAAAAUCAUCAGGGAGAAGUUCAAAAACUUCAACCUGUCCUUUGAAGAUGUUUAUCGAGUUCAGACUGCAUGGUCUGUCCCGGAUGACCAACUCCGCGAAGAUGUCAGGAUUUCCAUAUCACUGAAAGUUAUACAGGCUUACAGGACAUUUGUGGGAAGAUACUCUGCCUUCCUUGAUGGCACCAAGCAGAGAGAUCGCUACAUAAAGUACAGGCCUGAGGAUCUGGAGGAACUUUUGCUGGAUCUGUUUGAAGGAACUCAAAAGUCAUUGCAGCAUUCUGGCCGAGCUUGA